RNAcentral lists this transfer RNA (86 nucleotides) under Leucosporidium creatinivorum. RNAcentral's name for it is "tRNA-Thr". It matches the Rfam family "tRNA". From Rfam's summary of the family: Transfer RNA (tRNA) molecules are approximately 80 nucleotides in length. Their secondary structure includes four short double-helical elements and three loops (D, anti-codon, and T loops). The record is from RNAcentral. Lineage: Eukaryota; Fungi; Basidiomycota; Microbotryomycetes; Leucosporidiales; Leucosporidiaceae.
GCCCCAGUGGCCAAGUGGUUACGGCGCCGCACUUGUAUUACAUGUACGUGAUGCGGCGAUCGCGCGUUCAAUCCGCGCCUGGGGCU